This 455-nucleotide ribosomal RNA is filed under the name uncultured bacterium. Its description in RNAcentral is "bacterial SSU rRNA". It matches the Rfam family "Bacterial small subunit ribosomal RNA", at positions 346 to 793 of the family's 1533-position model. The record is from RNAcentral.
AGGCAGCAGUGGGGAAUAUUGCACAAUGGGCGCAAGCCUGAUGCAGCCAUGCCGCGUGUAUGAAGAAGGCCUUCGGGUUGUAAAAGUACUUUCAGCAGUGAGGAAGGUGGGUAUGUUAAUAGCAUAUUCAUUUGACGUUAGCUGCAGAAGAAGCACCGGCUAACUCCGUGCCAGCAGCCGCGGUAAUACGGAGGGUGCGAGCGUUAAUCGGAAUUACUGGGCGUAAAGCGCAUGCAGGUGGUUUGUUAAGUCAGAUGUGAAAGCCCGGGGCUCAACCUCGGAAUUGCAUUUGAAACUGGCAAACUAGAGUACUGUAGAGGGGGUAGAAUUUCAGGUGUAGCGGUGAAAUGCGUAGAGAUCUGAAGGAAUACCGGUGGCGAAGGCGGCCCCCUGGACAGAUACUGACACUCAGAUGCGAAAGCGUGGGGAGCAAACAGGAUUAGAUACCCUGGUCG